GACGAACGCUGGCGGCGUGCUUAACACAUGCAAGUCGAACGGAAAGGCCCUGCUUUUGUGGGGUGCUCGAGUGGCGAACGGGUGAGUAACACGUGAGUAACCUGCCCUUGACUUUGGGAUAACUUCAGGAAACUGGGGCUAAUACCGGAUAGGAGCUCCUGCUGCAUGGUGGGGGUUGGAAAGUUUCGGCGGUUGGGGAUGGACUCGCGGCUUAUCAGCUUGUUGGUGGGGUAGUGGCUUACCAAGGCUUUGACGGGUAGCCGGCCUGAGAGGGUGACCGGCGACAUGGGGACUGAGAGACGGACCAGACUCCUACGUGAGGCAGCAGUGGGGAAUAUUGCACAAUGGGCGGAAGCCUGAGGCAGCAACGCCGCGUGCGGGAUGACGGCCUUCGGGUUGUAAACCGCUGUCGCCUGUGACGAAGCGUGAGUGACGGUAAUUGGUAAAGAAGCACCGGCUAACUACGUG
RNAcentral lists this ribosomal RNA (468 nucleotides) under uncultured bacterium. RNAcentral's name for it is "partial 16S ribosomal RNA". It matches the Rfam family "Bacterial small subunit ribosomal RNA", at positions 28 to 507 of the family's 1533-position model. The record is from RNAcentral.